Manis javanica (Malayan pangolin) is the source of this 653-nucleotide non-coding RNA. Lineage: Eukaryota; Metazoa; Chordata; Mammalia; Pholidota; Manidae. The record is from RefSeq and is a predicted model, not a curated record.
UACCCCAUCAGGCCCAAAGAUCCCUGACCCUGAGAUAACUGGCCCUUGUUCCUUUCGUGGGCUGAAUCUAUAGGUCAGAGGAGUUGGAGAUCUUAAGACUGACCCAGUCAAAUAGGAACCUAGAAAGUCUGAACACAGACCUUGAAAGAGACCUGCAAAUCACAGAUGAGGCAAAUCAGGAACUUCUUCUCCAAAUCCACAAGAAAGAAGAAGAAAUACAGAGGCUGGAAAGUGAGAUCACUCAGCCCCAGGACCUGACAGAUGAUGAGGAGAGGGAGCAGCAGAAUAGUACCACCAUGGAAAGGGAAAGAACGCUGCAAGACCUGGAAGAAGAAAUAGCCAGACUUGAAAGGAAAAAUGAGACUCUGGUCCAUGACACAAGAGAACUUCAGAAAAAGCUUACAAGGAAAUUGCAAAAGGCAACCAAGUGUGAGCAAGGCCAUCUACAGGGAGCACUGGAACAGUCAAAGGUAAAUGAAAAAUCAAUCUUGAGAGGGUUUGGGUUACAUGAGCAGGAAGCAAGCUUUUACGUGGAAACAACUAUCAAAACUGGGAUAAAUUCUUUGUAGUUUUAGCCCAUGUCAGACUUAAGCCUAGGCUACUGAGUACUGAAUUCUUUUCUGCCCUUGGUAAGGAAUUUCACUCUGAAGCCA